UUUUAAUUAAUUUAUUAUAAUUGGAGGGUUAUUACUUUAUUCUUAAGUGUUCUGCUGCUGUCUUUGUCCUUCCUCUCAGAACUAAACUGAUGCUGGAGUUGACGUUUAACCUACACAGUCUCCUGGCCUAGACAGACCUAACCAGGUGAUUCCAUACUCAAGUGCGGAGAAAGGAAGCUCUACCUCCUGGAAGGGUAUAUCUCCAUUUUUUUUUUUUUUUUUGUAUUUGUGAUUAUUCUGUAAGGAAAAUGUGCCUUUUAUUU
Molecule: long non-coding RNA, 263 nt
Filed under: Bos indicus x Bos taurus (hybrid cattle)
Lineage: Eukaryota; Metazoa; Chordata; Mammalia; Artiodactyla; Bovidae
Description: lncRNA (ENSBIXG00000004070.1)
Source: RNAcentral